UGGUGCCAGCAGCCGCGGUAAUUCCAGCUCCAAUAGCGUAUAUUAAAGUUGUUGCAGUUAAAAAGCUCGUAGUUGAAUUUCGGGAUCAAAUUGUCGGUCGUGCCUCGGUACGUACUGGCGUUAUUGGUUCCUCCCUUCUGAAGAACCACGAUGUCAUUAAUUUGGUGUCGCGGGGAAUCAGGACUGUUACUUUGAAAAAAUUAGAGUGUUUAAAGCAGGCUCGCGCUUGAAUACAUUAGCAUGGAAUAAUGAAAUAGGACGUUUGAUUCUAUUUUGUUGGUUUCUAGGAUCGACGUAAUGAUUAAUAGGGAUAGUUGGGGGCAUUAGUAUUCAAUUGUCAGAGGUGAAAUUCUUGGAUUUAUUGAAGACUAACUACUGCGAAAGCAUUUGCCAAGGAUGUUUUCAUUAAUCAAGAACGAAAGUUAGGGGAUCGAAGACGAUCAGAUACCGUCGUAGUCUUAACCAUAAACUAUGCCGACUAGGGA
Molecule: ribosomal RNA, 485 nt
Filed under: uncultured Glomeromycotina
Lineage: Eukaryota; Fungi; Glomeromycota
Description: SSU rRNA
Rfam family: Eukaryotic small subunit ribosomal RNA
Source: RNAcentral